Molecule: long non-coding RNA, 677 nt
Organism: Salvia splendens (bonfire salvia)
Lineage: Eukaryota; Viridiplantae; Streptophyta; Magnoliopsida; Lamiales; Lamiaceae
Exons: 2
Source: RefSeq, a predicted model, not a curated record
AUCUCUACUCUCUCUCGUCUAUCUCUUUCUCUCCCAAAAUCAGAGAAACAAAUCUAUCUCUCAGCUCCCUCCUCUUCUCUAGAUCGGACUCUCACUCUCUUUCUCUCCUAAAUUUUCCCCAAUUUCAGAAAUAGCUUGGUUGCCCCUUCUCUCCAACCAGCCUCUCUCUCGCCACCACCGCCACUGUGCAUGCACAGGCAGCGGCCCUCCGGCCUUCCCCACUCCUCGCACUGCUGGAGCAGUUUCCCGAUGCCACCACGGUCGCUGCCUCCUCGCCGUUUUCCGACAGUGACCGAUCUCAAUCUGGGGUGUGGGGCUUCCACCGUCGUCGACGGGGUUCCUAAGACUUAUAUGUCUUUCUCUUAAUUGUAAUAGAUUAGAAUUUGCUAAAUUUGUACAAUAGGACUUUAUCGGGCUUCAGAUGGACGUGCCGGACGUUACAAACUUUUAUUUGGUUUUAUUAUUUAAGUUGUUCUUGCGGUGUUGAGCAGAGAUGGCAAAUGUGUUUCAGUAGUAUAAUGCUCGGAUGCAUCGUGUCUCCAUACACGGUGUCAUUCUCUCUUGACUCUUCCUCUUCCGCUGCACCUCUUCCGCUGCAGUGUAAAAGUCGAGCUUAUGUUCUUUUGUAUCAUGUACUAUUAUAUAUUUUUCAAGUUAUCCCAAGUUGAUUUCAUUCU